Molecule: ribosomal RNA, 427 nt
Filed under: uncultured bacterium
Lineage: Bacteria
Description: partial 16S ribosomal RNA
Rfam family: Bacterial small subunit ribosomal RNA
Source: RNAcentral
GUGGGGAAUAUUGCGCAAUGGGGGAAACCCUGACGCAGCAAUACCGCGUGAGUGAAGAAGGUUUUCGGAUCGUAAAACUCUUUUAUUGGGGAAGAAGAAGUGACGGUACCCAAUGAAGAAGUCCCGGCUAACUACGUGCCAGCAGCCGCGGUAAUACGUAGGGGACAAGCGUUGUCCGGAAUCACUGGGCGUAAAGGGCGCGUAGGCGGUUUUAUAAGUCAGAUGUGAAAGGUACCGGCUCAACCGGUGACGUGCAUUUGAAACUGUAAGACUUGAGUACUGGAGAGGCAAGUGGAAUUCCUAGUGUAGCGGUGAAAUGCGUAGAUAUUAGGAGGAACACCGGUGGCGAAGGCGGCUUGCUGGACAGAUACUGACGCUGAGGUGCGGAAGCGUGGGGAGCGAACAGGAUUUGAAACCCUUGUAGUCC